RNAcentral lists this long non-coding RNA (322 nucleotides) under Pan troglodytes (chimpanzee). RNAcentral's name for it is "long non-coding RNA NONPTRT014507". The record is from RNAcentral. Lineage: Eukaryota; Metazoa; Chordata; Mammalia; Primates; Hominidae.
UUCAUCACUGUGGUUGCCUCUAAGACUCAGUCGUUGCCCAUUGGUUGUUUCUCAUCUAAUUUCUUUCUCUAAUUUCCUUCCCCUGAUUUGAUACUGAACUCUGUUUGGUUGUCUCUUUUCUUCUGAUUUCUUGCCAUUUCUUCAAAUAUAUUCAGUUGACCAUAAAAAAUUUUCAUUUGAAAAUCCCCGGGUAGUCAGGGUUGGGGAGAUACCCAGUAGAGACUCAGCCACAGGCCUUUAGCUUCAAGUACAUAAUUGCAUUCUCAAGCAAAAUCCUUAGGAAAAAAAAAAAUUCCUGGCAAACAUAGAAGAAAUAGGAUCU